Non-coding RNA from Spodoptera litura, 327 nucleotides. The record is from RefSeq and is a predicted model, not a curated record. NCBI's taxonomy places the organism in Eukaryota, Metazoa, Arthropoda, Insecta, Lepidoptera, Noctuidae.
CCAGGAUGUAGCUUAAUUGAAACAUUGCCCUUGUUUGAUGCAAUCACUGCAUUUCAAACUGUUGAUUUUACAGCUCCACUAUUUUGCAGUCACCGAAGGGCAGUGAACUACUUUAUAGAAACCAUAGAAAACAUUUGUUCGAUAAUUGGCAAUCAAGCCAGUAGCGCGACUGCCUGGGUGCUCAGAGGGGGAUCGCCAUUAAACCUCCUUUGUCUCGGUUACAACAUAACCUCAAGCCCCAAAGGAAAUUACUAUUUCCGCACCAACGCAGAGUCUCCUUACGGUAAAGGUACAGACGGAACCAGACCAUUUUAAAUUGUCUUAUAA